This 1833-nucleotide long non-coding RNA is filed under the name Theobroma cacao (cacao). RNAcentral describes it as "long non-coding RNA (TCAC_LNC001627)". The record is from RNAcentral. Lineage: Eukaryota; Viridiplantae; Streptophyta; Magnoliopsida; Malvales; Malvaceae.
CGGGAUAUGAAAUUUACUUUACAGUGACUCGUGGGCCCACAAGGAACAAAAGUGCACAAAGGCAGUAAACCUACAAUUUUUGGAGUAGUAAAGCCGACUAUAAUCAUUGACGAUAUCUGCUAUCCACAGGCUACCUCGGGCCUGAAAUGGUUGAAAAUGAGGGUGGUGAGAUUAUAAAAUCCCAGUGAGUAAACAGAUACCAUCUAAACCAUAUAAAGUCGAGUAAAUGGAGACAGAUAAAAUAGUUUAACAUACUGAAAUUCAUCACCUUUCAACUUGUUUCAACCAAAUAAAAUCAAUUUAUAUAAAUCGAGUAAUUAACAAGGCUUAUGAAUUUCUUAAAACUUUAGCUCGUGCCAAAAUCAUUAUCAUACUCAGUCAUCAGGGAUACCUUGGCUGAGGGCUAUCCCAAACUGAGUCCACCAAGGCUAUUAAAAGGUUAUGUACUCAUAAAUCAUGUUUUUAUUUUGAAAAUAUAGCCGUUCCUUGGCGUUGGUUGAGUUGGCCCUCACGUGGUGGUUUGGCGUGAAGUGAACUCUAAAAGCUAUACCUUGGGAGUUACCCUACUUGCCUCUCCAACCGAGGUAAGAAUAUGACCAGGUUUCGUGCCCCUCUAAUAGGCUAGUCCACAGAACCAGCCCACUGCAACAAGCUAAACCCACCAUACAAUAAAAUUUAACAACAUGACAUGGUAAUUUUAUCAUUAUCCAGCCUAUCAAGGCAAACAACAGUUUAUACAUUUUCAACGCAAAUACCAAUUCAGCCAUUCAUGCCAAUAUUGCCAUAAGCCAAUCAAUUAGAACCAUAAAUUCACAAUACAUCAAAUGGUCUCCAAUUACUCUAUUUUCAAAGCCAUCAUUUAAUUUCAAAACAAUUUAUAAAAUCAUUUCAUUUAAACACAUUUUAUUUAUAAAAUAAAAAAAUUAAUCAUUUAAUUCAUUUUCCAUAAAAUUCAUAAAAUCGGAUAAAAACCACUUUAGAUAAUUAAGAUGAUAGUAAGGUUACUCACAGUACUAGGAGUUCGAUAUAUGCCUAUUCCCGGUCUUCGGGCACAAUCUCUUUACCCUUGUUAGAGGGCUCACCACCUAUACAUCAUACGUGACACGAAUUUCAAUAAAUUGUGUCAAUUUAUCAUAAACUAUUUCAGGCUCUAUAAAUCUAUAUGAAUGUACGAAAUGUGAUGCAAAAUGUCCGAAUAGCCGUUUAAAUACGGUAUUCGACCUAAUUCGCACUAUUCUCGAUGUAAUUGGCUAAAACCUCUAAUUUAACUCCAAAUCGAUUUCUUUCACUUCUACACUCCAAUUAUACUUAAAAUACCUCAAUGACUGUGAAUAUGAUUCAAUUUAUCAGUCCGAACUAUAAAUCGCACAUGUCUAUACAUUAGGUAAAAAUUCAGAUUUUCAUGCCAAAAUUUCCCAUUAAAUUUCUAGCCUCACCAAUCAUUAAAUACCACCAAAAUAUCAUGAAAUAUCAUCAAUUUCAGCCUCAAUAUCCUCCCUAGAAAAUUCAGCCUCUUGUGGGUUUGUGAAGAACAAAGUGAUUCCUUGCUAGAUUUUCAUACUUUCCAUUACCAAACAACCAAAAACACUUAAUUAGCUUGAAAUCUAGCAAAAUCAAUGCUCAAAACCUCUCCUCUCAAAUUUGGCCAACAUGGGUUCAUCAUGCAAACUUGAGUUCUAAGCAUGGAAAAUGAAAAAGAAAGCAUGGGUAGUGUAAAUCACAAGAUAAAAUCACAAAAUUUUACCUUUAUUAGCUUAAUCCCUUGAAAUCCCACACUUUUUCUUCAAUUUUCCCACCUAGGGUUUGUGUUCUUUCCUUUCCUCUUCACUUCAU